GACGAACGCUGGCGGCGUGCUUAACACAUGCAAGUCGAACGCUGAAGCCCCAGCUUGCUGGGGUGGAUGAGUGGCGAACGGGUGAGUAACACGUGAGUAACCUGCCCAUCACUCUGGGAUAAGCGCUGGAAACGGCGUCUAAUACUGGAUACGAGCAGCGACCGCAUGGUCAGUUGCUGGAAAGACUGGUUCGGUGAUGGAUGGACUCGCGGCCUAUCAGCUUGUUGGUGAGGUAAUGGCUCACCAAGGCGACGACGGGUAGCCGGCCUGAGAGGGUGACCAGCCACACUGGGACUGAGACACGGCCCAGACUCCUACGGGAGGCAGCAGUGGGGAAUAUUGCACAAUGGGCGCAAGCCUGAUGCAGCAACGCCGCGUGAGGGAUAACGGCCUUCGGGUUGUAAACCUCUUUUAGUAAGGAAGAAGCCUUCGGGUGACGGUACCUGCAGAAAAAGCACCGGCUAACUACGUGCCAGCCGCCGCGGUAA
RNAcentral lists this ribosomal RNA (488 nucleotides) under uncultured bacterium. RNAcentral describes it as "partial 16S ribosomal RNA". It matches the Rfam family "Bacterial small subunit ribosomal RNA", at positions 28 to 523 of the family's 1533-position model. The record is from RNAcentral.